GGGAUUAUUGGGCGUAAGAGAAUGUAGGCGGUUUAUUAAGUUUGAAGUGAAAGCCCUCGGCUCAACCGAGGAAGUGCUUCGAAAACUGGUAAACUUGAGUGCAGAAGAGGAAAGUGGAACUCCAUGUGUAGCGGUGGAAUGCGUAGAUAUAUGGAAGAACACCAGUGGCGAAGGCGGCUUUCUGGUCUGUAACUGACGCUGAGAUUCGAAAGCAUGGGUAGCAAACAGGAUUAGAUACCCUGGUAGUCCAUGCCGUAAACGAUGAGUGCUAAGUGUUGGAGGGUUUCCGCCCUUCAGUGCUGCAGCUAACGCAUUAAGCACUCCGCCUGGGGAGUACGAUCGCAAGAUUGAAACUCAAAGGAAUUGACGGGGGCCCGCACAAGCGGUGGAGCAUGUGGUUUAAUUCGAAGCAACGCGAAGAACCUUACCAGGUCUUGACAUCCUUUGACCACUGUAGAGAUACAGCUUUCCCUUCGGGGACAAAGUGACAGGUGGUGCAUGGUUGUCGUCAGCUCGUGUCGUGAGAUGUUGGGUUAAGUCCCGCAACGAGCGCAACCCUUAUGACUAGUUGCCAGCAUUUAGUUGGGCACUCUAGUAAGACUGCCGGUGACAAACCGGAGGAAGGUGGGGAUGACGUCAAAUCAGCAUGCCCCUUAUGACCUGGGCUACACACGUGCUACAAUGGUCGGUACAACGAGUUGCGAACCCGCGAGGGUAAGCUAAUCUCUUAAAGCCGAUCUCAGUUCGGAUUGUAGGCUGCAACUCGCCUACAUGAAGCCGGAAUCGCUAGUAAUCGCGGAUCAGCACGCCGCGGUGAAUACGUUCCCGGGCC
This 832-nucleotide ribosomal RNA is filed under the name uncultured bacterium. RNAcentral's name for it is "bacterial SSU rRNA". It matches the Rfam family "Bacterial small subunit ribosomal RNA", at positions 547 to 1380 of the family's 1533-position model. The record is from RNAcentral.